GAGGGUAUAGCUCAGUGGCAGAGCACAUGCUUAGCAUACAUGAGGCCCUGAGUUCAAUGCCCAGUACUUCCA
Molecule: transfer RNA, 72 nt
Filed under: Camelus bactrianus (Bactrian camel)
Lineage: Eukaryota; Metazoa; Chordata; Mammalia; Artiodactyla; Camelidae
Also listed under: 2 other names
Rfam family: tRNA
About the family: Transfer RNA (tRNA) molecules are approximately 80 nucleotides in length. Their secondary structure includes four short double-helical elements and three loops (D, anti-codon, and T loops).
Source: Rfam by way of RNAcentral